AGUGGUCCCGAGCAGUUCAACAGUUCUCAUGCGCAAUUGUGAAAUGUUUCGGACCACUGC
RNAcentral lists this microRNA precursor (60 nucleotides) under Eptatretus burgeri (inshore hagfish). RNAcentral describes it as "Ebu-Mir-203-P4_pre stem-loop". Lineage: Eukaryota; Metazoa; Chordata; Myxini; Myxiniformes; Myxinidae. The record is from RNAcentral.